GUUGUUCCCUGCCCUCACGGGUAGAAACGCCACCCUUGUAUAAUAUAUAUUGUUGCUUUGGCAGGCCGCCUUCGGGCACUGGCUCCGGCUAGAUCGUGUCUGCCAGAGGACCCCAAACUCUGGAUCGUUAAUGUCGUCUGAGUACUAUAUAAUAGUUAAAACUUUCAACAACGGAUCUCUUGGUUCU
This 187-nucleotide unclassified non-coding RNA is filed under the name rhizosphere metagenome. RNAcentral describes it as "partial ribosomal RNA internal transcribed spacer region". The record is from RNAcentral.